AGUGAACGCUGGCGGUAGGCCUAACACAUGCAAGUCGAACGGCAGCACAGUAAGAGCUUGCUCUUACGGGUGGCGAGUGGCGGACGGGUGAGGAAUACAUCGGAAUCUACUUUUUCGUGGGGGAUAACGUAGGGAAACUUACGCUAAUACCGCAUACGACCUACGGGUGAAAGCAGGGGAUCUUCGGACCUUGCGCGAUUGAAUGGGCCGAUGUCGGAUUAGUUAGUUGGCGGGGUAAAGGCCCACCAAGGCGACGAUCCGUAGCUGGUCUGAGAGGAUGAUCAGCCACACUGGAACUGAGACACGGUCCAGACUCCUACGGGAGGCAGCAGUGGGGAAUAUUGGACAAUGGGCGCAAGCCUGAUCCAGCCAUACCGCGUGGGUGAAGAAGGCCUUCGGGUUGUAAAGCCCUUUUGUUGGGAAAGAAAAGCAGCAGGUUAAUACCCCGCUGUUCUGACGGUACCCAAAGAAUAAGCACCGGCUAACUUCGUG
This 492-nucleotide ribosomal RNA is filed under the name uncultured bacterium. Its description in RNAcentral is "partial 16S ribosomal RNA". It matches the Rfam family "Bacterial small subunit ribosomal RNA", at positions 29 to 507 of the family's 1533-position model. The record is from RNAcentral.